CAAGCGGUGGAGCAUAUGGCUUAAUUCGAUGCAACGCGAAGAACCUUACCAGGGCUUGACAUGCACCUGCAAUCUCCCGAAACGGAGCCGCCUUCGAGGGUGGUGCACAGGUGGUGCAUGGCUGUCGUCAGCUCGUGUUGUGAAAUGUUGGGUUAAGUCCCGCAACGAGCGCAACUCUCAUGUUUUGUUACCAGCGGAUAAUGCCGGGGACUCGAGACAAACUGCCUCUGUAAGGAGGAGGAAGGUGGGAACGACGUCAAGUCAUCAUGCCCCUUACGCCCUGGGCUGCACAUAUGCUACAAUGGCGUCGACAAAGGGUUGCUAUCCCGCGAGGGCUUGCUAAUCUCAAAAACGACGUCUCAGUUCGGAUUGGAGUCUGCAACUCGACUCCAUGAAGUUGGAAUCGCUAGUAACCGCAGGUCAGCAAUACUGCGGUGAAUACGUUCCCGGGCCUUGCACACACC
RNAcentral lists this ribosomal RNA (464 nucleotides) under uncultured bacterium. RNAcentral describes it as "bacterial SSU rRNA". It matches the Rfam family "Bacterial small subunit ribosomal RNA", at positions 926 to 1391 of the family's 1533-position model. The record is from RNAcentral.